ACACGACUACAUUAGAUACCCGUGUAGUCCCAGCCCUAAACGAUGCGCGUUAGGUGUAUCGGUGACCACGAGUCACCGAGGUGCCGAAGGGAAACUGUGAAACGUGCCGCCGUGGGAAGUACGGUCGCAAGGCUGAAACUUAAAGGAAUUGGCGGGGAGCACCACAACGGGUGGAGCCUGCGGUUUAAUUGGACUCAACGCCGGGAAGCUCACCGGAUAAGACAGCGGAAUGAUUGCCGGGCUGAAGACCCUGCAUGACCAGCUG
RNAcentral lists this ribosomal RNA (265 nucleotides) under uncultured archaeon. Its description in RNAcentral is "partial 16S ribosomal RNA". It matches the Rfam family "Archaeal small subunit ribosomal RNA", at positions 719 to 982 of the family's 1478-position model. The record is from RNAcentral.